UCGAGAAUUUUUCACAAUGGGGGCAACCCUGAUGGAGCGACGCCGCGUGGAGGAUGAAGGCCUUCGGGUUGUAAACUCCUGUCAUGCGGGAACAAGCAAGUGAUAGUACCGCAAGAGGAAGGGACGGCUAACUCUGUGCCAGCAGCCGCGGUAAUACAGAGGUCUCAAGCGUUGUUCGGAUUCAUUGGGCGUAAAGGGUGCGUAGGUGGUGACGCAAGUCUGGUGUGAAAUCUCGGAGCUCAACUCCGAAAUUGCACCGGAUACUGCGUGACUCGAGGACUGUAGAGGAGAUCGGAAUUCACGGUGUAGCAGUGAAAUGCGUAGAUAUCGUGAGGAAGACCAGUUGCGAAGGCGGAUCUCUGGGCAGUUCCUGGACACUGAGGCACGAAGGCCAGGGGAGCAAACGGGAUUAGAUACCCCCGGUAGUCCUGGCAGUAAACGGUGCACGUUUGGUGUGGGCGGGUUCAGACCCCGUCCGUGCCGGAGCUAAC
This 491-nucleotide ribosomal RNA is filed under the name uncultured Verrucomicrobiota bacterium. RNAcentral describes it as "bacterial SSU rRNA". It matches the Rfam family "Bacterial small subunit ribosomal RNA", at positions 355 to 856 of the family's 1533-position model. Lineage: Bacteria; Pseudomonadati; Verrucomicrobiota. The record is from RNAcentral.